GCGCCCGCAGCCCAGCCGCGCGGUAGCGCGUGCGACUGUUAAUCGCGAGGUCGAGGGUUCGAACCCCUCCGGUGCA
Molecule: non-coding RNA, 76 nt
Organism: Pavlovales sp. CCMP2436
Lineage: Eukaryota; Haptophyta; Pavlovophyceae; Pavlovales
Source: the annotation of a GenBank genome assembly